Molecule: ribosomal RNA, 458 nt
Filed under: uncultured bacterium
Lineage: Bacteria
Description: partial 16S ribosomal RNA
Rfam family: Bacterial small subunit ribosomal RNA
Source: RNAcentral
CCUACGGGCGGCAGCAGUGGGGAAUAUUGCACAAUGGGGGAAACCCUGAUGCAGCGACGCCGCGUGAGUGAAGAAGUAUUUCGGUAUGUAAAGCCCUAUCAGCAGGGAAGAAAUAGCGACCUUUGGGUCGCCAGACGGUACCUGACUAAGAAGCCCCGGCUAACUACGUGCCAGCAGCCGCGGUAAUACGGAGGGGGAAAGCGUUAUACGGAAUUACUGGGUGGAAAGGGAGCGUAGACGGCAGCACAAGUCUGAAGUGAAAUUCCGGGGCUUAACCCCGGAACUGCAUUUGAAACUGUGCAGCUAGAGUGCAGGAGAGGUAAGUGGAAUUCUUGGUGUAGCGGUAAAAUGCGUAGAGAUUAAGAGGAACACCAGUUGCGAAGGCGACUUACUGGACUGUAACUGACGUUGAGGCGCGAAAGCGUGGGGAGCAAACAGGAUUAGAUACCCUAGUAGUC